CGUCGAAUAUGACUCUCGUUCGGUUGUAAAUAGAGAAACACAACCAUUAGGAACUAUUGACCAUGUGGCCACCAAUAUACCAACCCAAUCUCGCAUGUGUUGAAGAACGCCCUCCGGGAUAUAAAGACCUCUUGUGGGACAAGAUAAGCAAUUUGGUUAUUACCGGGUGUUCUGGCGGUACUCAUAGUAUUAGCACGAGCUCAGGUCGUGCCCCCAGCCUUGGGUAAUACGAAGUGUGCAAGCGUUACUCGGGAGUGGGUGGAGGGUAAAGCGUGUGUAGGUGGUUGUUUAAGUAUGUUGUGAGAGCCCUAGUCUCAGCCUGUGAAUGGCAGUGGAUACUGGCCGACUAUAGUGUGGUAGAGGGUAGGGGAAUUCACCAUGUAGCAGUAAAAUGCGUAGAGAUCGGGAGGAACAUCCAUAGCGAAGGCAUCUACGUGGACCAACACCCACAUUGAGGCACGAAAGCGUGUGGAGCCAACAGCAUUAGAUACCCUGCUAGUCCACGCCCUAAACGAUGAGAAGUGGAUGUUGGGUGCAAUUUGGCACGCAGUAUCGAAGCUAACGCGUUAAGUUCGCCGCCUGGGGAGUUCGGUCGCAAGACUGAAAUUCAAAGGAAUUGACGGGGGCCCGCACAAGCGGUGGAGUAUGUGGUUUAAUUCGAUGCAACGCGAAGAACCUUACCUGGUCUUUUCAUUUCGAGAACUUUCCAGAGAUGGAUUGGUGCCUUCGGGAACUCGAACACAGGUGCUGCAUGGCAGUCGUCAGCUCGUGUCGUGAGAUGUUGGGUUAAGUCCCGCAACGAGCGCAACCCUUGUCCUUAGUUGCCAGCACGUAAUGGUGGGAACUCUAAGGAGACCGCCGGUGACAAACCGGAGGAAGGUGGGGAUGACGUCAAGUCAUCAUGGCCCUUACGACCAGGGCUACACACGUACUACAAUGGUAGGGACAGAGGGCUGCAAACCCGCGAGGGCAAGCUAAUCCCAGAAACCCUAUCUCAGUCCGGAUUGGAGUCUGCAACUCGACUCCAUGAAGUCGGAAUCGCUAGUAAUCGCAGAUCAGCAUUGCUGCGGUGAAUACGUUCCCGGGCCUUGUACACACCGCCCGUCACACCAUGGGAGUUUGUUGCACCAGAAGCAGGUAGCUUAACCUUCGGGAGGGCGCUGCCACGGUGGCCGAUGACUGAU
This 1184-nucleotide ribosomal RNA is filed under the name uncultured bacterium. Its description in RNAcentral is "bacterial SSU rRNA". It matches the Rfam family "Bacterial small subunit ribosomal RNA", at positions 311 to 1478 of the family's 1533-position model. The record is from RNAcentral.